RNAcentral lists this ribosomal RNA (468 nucleotides) under uncultured bacterium. Its description in RNAcentral is "partial 16S ribosomal RNA". It matches the Rfam family "Bacterial small subunit ribosomal RNA", at positions 28 to 507 of the family's 1533-position model. The record is from RNAcentral.
GACGAACGCUGGCGGCGUGCUUAACACAUGCAAGUCGAACGGAAAGGCCCUGCUUUUGUGGGGUGCUCGAGUGGCGAACGGGUGAGUAACACGUGAGUAACCUGCCCUUGACUUUGGGAUAACUUCAGGAAACUGGGGCUAAUACCGGAUAGGAGCUCCUGCUGCAUGGUGGGGGUUGGAAAGUUUCGGCGGUUGGGGAUGGACUCGCGGCUUAUCAGCUUGUUGGUGGGGUAGUGGCUUACCAAGGCUUUGACGGGUAGCCGGCCUGAGAGGGUGACCGGCCACAUUGGGACUGAGAUACGGCCCAGACUCCUACGGGAGGCAGCAGUGGGGAAUAUUGCACAAUGGGCGGAAGCCGGAUGCAGCAACGCCGCGUGCGGGAUGGCGGCCUUCGGGUUGUAAACCGCUUUCGCCUGUGACGAAGCGUGAGUGACGGUAAUGGGUAAAGAAGCACCGGCUAACUACGUG